This 551-nucleotide ribosomal RNA is filed under the name uncultured euryarchaeote. Its description in RNAcentral is "bacterial SSU rRNA". It matches the Rfam family "Archaeal small subunit ribosomal RNA", at positions 325 to 879 of the family's 1478-position model. The record is from RNAcentral. Lineage: Archaea; Methanobacteriati; Methanobacteriota.
AUGGGGUGCNNNNNNNGCGAAAACUUCACACUGCAGGAAACUGUGAUGAGGGAAUUCCAAGUGGCUAGACAAAGUCUAGUCUACAACCAACUCUUAACCGGUUGGCGAAAAGGGGUGGGAAAGACCGGUGCCAGCCGCCGCGGUAAUACCGGCACCCCAAGUGGUCGUCGCUUUUAUUGGGCCUAAAACGUCCGUAGCCGGUUUGGUACAUUCGUGGGUAAAUCAAGCAGCUCAACUGCUUGAAUUCUGCGAGGACGGCCAGACUAGGGACUGGGAGAGGUGUGGGGUACUCUCGGGGUAGGGGUAAAAUCCUGUCAUCNCNNGAGGACCACCUGUUGCGAAGGCGCCACACUAGAACGGAUCCGACGGUCAGGGACGAAGCCUANGGGCACGAACCGGAUUAGAUACCCGGGUAGUCCUAGGUGUAAACGCUGUGGACUUGGUGUCGGGGACUCCACGAGUGUCCCCGGUGCCGGAGUGAAGAUGUUAAGUCCACUGCCUGGGGAGUACGGUCGCAAGGCUGAAACUUAAAGGAAUUGGCGGGGGAGCAC